RNAcentral lists this ribosomal RNA (350 nucleotides) under uncultured Flavobacteriaceae bacterium. RNAcentral describes it as "bacterial SSU rRNA". It matches the Rfam family "Bacterial small subunit ribosomal RNA", at positions 1 to 357 of the family's 1533-position model. The record is from RNAcentral. Lineage: Bacteria; Pseudomonadati; Bacteroidota; Flavobacteriia; Flavobacteriales; Flavobacteriaceae.
UGACGAGUUUGAUCCUGGCUCAGGAUGAACGCUAGCGGCAGGCUUAACACAUGCAAGUCGAGGGGUAUAGUUCUUCGGAGCUAGAGACCGGCGCACGGGUGCGUAACGCGUAUGCAAUCUACCUUUUACAGGGGAAUAGCCCAGAGAAAUUUGGAUUAAUGCCCCAUAGUAUAUAUCAUUCGCAUGUUUGAUAUAUUAAAGUUCCAACGGUAAAAGAUGAGCAUGCGUCCCAUUAGCUAGAUGGUAAGGUAACGGCUUACCAUGGCGACGAUGGGUAGGGGUCCUGAGAGGGAGACUCCCCCGACACUGAUACUGAGACACGGACCAGACUCGUACGGGAGCAGCAGUGA